UACAGAGGUGGCAAGCGUUGUUCGGAAUUACUGGGCGUAAAGGGCGCGUAGGCGGCCUUCUAAGUCGAACGUGAAAACCCCAGGCUUAACCUGGGAACUGCGUUUGAUACUGGAAGGCUUGGAUUCGGGAGAGGGAUGCGGAAUUCCAGGUGUAGCGGUGAAAUGCGUAGAUAUCUGGAGGAACACCGGUGGCGAAGGCGGCAUCCUGGACCGAGAUCGACGCUGAGGCGCGAAAGCUAGGGGAGCAAACGGG
RNAcentral lists this ribosomal RNA (253 nucleotides) under uncultured bacterium. Its description in RNAcentral is "partial 16S ribosomal RNA". It matches the Rfam family "Bacterial small subunit ribosomal RNA", at positions 524 to 776 of the family's 1533-position model. The record is from RNAcentral.